UUCGUAGGCGGUGCGGCAAGUCAGGAGUGAAAUCUCUGGGCUUAACUCAGAGGCUGCUUCUGAAACUGCCGCGCUCGAGUGCGGGAGAGGCCAGUGGAAUUGCAGGUGUAGCGGUGAAAUGCGUAGAUAUCUGCAGGAACACCCGUGGCGAAGGCGGCUGGCUGGACCGCAACUGACGCUGAGGAACGAAAGCUAGGGGAGCAAACAGGAUUAGAUACCCUGGUAGUCCUAGCCCUAAACCAUCAGAACUUGGGGUGCAUCCCGUUGGGGGUGCGUCCCGUAGCUAACGCGUUAAGUUCUGCGCCUGGGGAGUACGGUCGCAAGGCUAGAA
This 331-nucleotide ribosomal RNA is filed under the name uncultured bacterium. RNAcentral describes it as "bacterial SSU rRNA". It matches the Rfam family "Bacterial small subunit ribosomal RNA", at positions 568 to 899 of the family's 1533-position model. The record is from RNAcentral.